This is a non-coding RNA of Delphinapterus leucas (beluga whale), 1769 nucleotides long. Lineage: Eukaryota; Metazoa; Chordata; Mammalia; Artiodactyla; Monodontidae. The record is from RefSeq and is a predicted model, not a curated record.
CGGAGUCCUAACCACUGGACCGCCAGGGAAUUCCCAUGAUCUGAGUUAAGAAAACAAACUCUCUUAGGCUCUGUGUGGGAAAUAGUUGGUAGGAGACUAGGUUAAGGGCAAAAGCAAGGAGGCCAGUUAGCAGGCUAUUGCUGUCCUUUCUGAUGAGAUGAUGGUGGCCUGGGCUAGAGUUGCAGCAGCAGAAGAACGGGAGAAUGGGAAGUGGAUAGAUUUAAGACAUUUUGGAGUUAGAGCUGACAAAACUUUGCUGAUAGACUGAGUGUGGAGAUUGAGGGAGAGGAAACAAAAAAUGACUCAGUUUCUCCUAGUGCAACUGGGAGGAUGCUUGGGUCAUUUACUGAGAUGGGCAAGACUGGGCAGACACAGGUUUUGGGUUAGGAUGUGUACGAAGAAAUGAAGAGUUCUGUAUUGAGUUACAGACGGUCGAUAGGUACCCAAGGGGAGGUGCCCCAUAGACAGUGGAACUAUGUGUCUGUGACUCCAGGGGUUGGGAGGGGGGUUCUAUGCUGGAAACGUGAAUUGGGAAAUCUUUAACCUAUAACGCAGCACUGUCCAAUAGAACUAGAAAGCGAGCCACGUGAUUAAAAUUUUCCCAGGAGCCACAUGAAAAAAGUAAAAAGAAACAGAUGAAACUAACUUAAAUAAUAUACUCAUUUAAACCAAGAAAUCCCAAAUAUUAUCUCAGCACGUAGUCAAUAUAAAAAUUAUCGAGGAGAUAGCUGGCAUUCUUUCUUCGACAUCCGGUGUGUAUUUUACAUUUAGAACACAUUUAACUCGCACUCGCCACAUUUCAAGCGCUCAGUUGCCACCUGCCGGCUAGGGGUUACCGCUUGGUUCAGCUCACCAGUGGAGGGUUUUCAAAGCCAGGAGCUUGGACCCACCCGGACAGUAGAGAAGACGCACUUCCGCCGGACGGAGCGCCCCGGACGGAAAUUGGAGGCGGAACGGAAGUUGCGUGUGUGCGUGCGCAGCCGCAGACAGCCGAGCCGGGAGCUUCCCUACUGAGAGGAGCUUACGCGGCUGGACGCCAGGCUUUCGGGCAGCGUCUUUGGGCUGUUUUAGUGCCAUGCAUCCUUUACAGUGUGUCCUCCAAGCACAGAGAUGUCUGAGGUGGGGGCCCUUGACCUCUGUGUCCUGGCUGCUGCUUAGGACCUGCAGGGCACACAGUGGUGUCCGCAGCUCUGCAGGUCCCAGUCCAGAGAGGCGGCAGGAGGAUGGAGUUUGGAAGGAUUUCAGCUCCAGGCUGGCCACUGGACCGACUUUUCAGCAUUUUUUAAGAAGUGCUUCAGUUCCUCAAGAGAAACCAUCUACUCCAGAUGUGGAGGACCCACCCCCAUAUCUCACAGUGGAUGAUCUUUUAGGAAGGCAGAGAAGAGUCUAUCUUGAGACCUAUGGCUGCCAGAUGAAUGUGAAUGACACAGAGAUAGCCUGGUCCAUCUUACAGAAGAGUGGCUACCUCCGGACCAGUAACCUUCAGGAGGUACACACAUUUCCUGCUUCCCCUUGUUUCCUGGGCGAGAUUCUGCAUGUGUGCCAGUUCUUGGGUGGAGUUUCAUGAGCAGGCUGUGGCCUAGUGAGAGUGAGUUCCCUUGAGGAAAGUGCAGUGUGGGACUGAGCUGUACUUUUGUUGCAGUUAUUUUUGAAACUUUUAAGGUAGUGCUCACCUUCAGGCAAGGAACUAGGUUAAAAAUGGGCCGUGAUAGGCUUCCCUGGUGGCGCAGUGGUUGAGAGUCCGCCUGCCAAUGCAGGGGACAUGAGUU